RNAcentral lists this ribosomal RNA (459 nucleotides) under uncultured bacterium. RNAcentral's name for it is "partial 16S ribosomal RNA". It matches the Rfam family "Bacterial small subunit ribosomal RNA", at positions 338 to 795 of the family's 1533-position model. The record is from RNAcentral.
CCUACGGGAGGCAGCAGUGAGGAAUAUUGGUCAAUGGCCGGGAGGCUGAACCAGCCAAGUCGCGUGAGGGAAGACGGCCCUACGGGUUGUAAACCUCUUUUGUCAGGGAGCAAGGUGCAGGUCGGGACCUGCUGUGAGAGUACCUGAAGAAAAAGCAUCGGCUAACUCCGUUCCAGCAGCCGCGGUAAUACGGAGGAUGCGAGCGUUAUCGGGAUUUGUUGGGUUUAAAGGGUGCGCAGGGGGAGCCACAAGUCAGCGGGAAAAUCGCGGGGCUCGACCCCGCUGCGCCGUUGAAACUGUGUCCCUUGAGUGCGCGAAGGGAAGGUGGAAUGCGAGGUGUAGCGGUGAAAUGCAUAGAUAUCACGCAGAACUCCGAUCGCGAAGGCAGCCUACCGGCGCGCAACUGACGCUCAUGCACGAAAGCGUGGGGAUCGAACAGGAUUAGAUACCCGAGUAGUC